UUCCUACGGGGGGCAGCAGUGGGGAAUAUUGCACAAUGGGGGAAACCCUGAUGCAGCAACGCCGCGUGAAGGAAGACGGUUUUCGGAUUGUAAACUUCUGUUCUUAGUGAAGAAGAAUGACGGUAGCUAAGGAGCAAGCCACGGCUAACUACGUGCCAGCAGCCGCGGUAAUACGUAGGUGGCAAGCGUUGUCCGGAUUUACUGGGUGUAAAGGGCGUGUAGCCGGGCUGACAAGUCAGAUGUGAAAUCCGGGGGCUCA
RNAcentral lists this ribosomal RNA (259 nucleotides) under uncultured bacterium. RNAcentral describes it as "partial 16S ribosomal RNA". It matches the Rfam family "Bacterial small subunit ribosomal RNA", at positions 336 to 611 of the family's 1533-position model. The record is from RNAcentral.